UACGGGGGGGGCAAGCGUUGUUCGGAAUUACUGGGCGUAAAGGGCUCGUAGGCGGCCAACUAAGUCGGAUGUGAAAUCCCCAGGCUUAACCUGGGAACUGCAUCCGAUACUGAGAGUCUCCGAGUCCGGGAGAGGUGAGUGGAACUGCGAGUGUAGAGGUGAAAUUCGUAGAUAUUCGCAAGAACACCAGUGGCGAAGGCGGCUCACUGGCCCGGUACUGACGCUGAGGUGCGAAAGCGUGGGGAGCAAACAGG
This 254-nucleotide ribosomal RNA is filed under the name uncultured bacterium. Its description in RNAcentral is "partial 16S ribosomal RNA". It matches the Rfam family "Bacterial small subunit ribosomal RNA", at positions 524 to 776 of the family's 1533-position model. The record is from RNAcentral.